ACAAAGUUUGGUUCUGGCUUUAAAGUUGGUUAUUUCAUAAAAAAAUACAUGACACCGUAAAGAAUUAGUGAGAUUACUUCAUUUAUAAACGUUAAAAACGUCCUUACUUGUUUUAAGUAUUAUUUUUACAAAAAAAAUACUUUGAUUUUUCCACUUACAUCAGUAUCAAAGAUUAAAAACAAAGGAAACUUAGGUUUAGUUACUGAUUAGAGGGUUGGUAAAUUAUGGUGCCAGCAGCCGCGGCUAUACCAUUAACCCAAAUCAACUAACAACAGCAAAAAAGACGGUUAAAUAAACUUUUAUUAAAGAAUAACAAACCAAAUUAACAAAGUAUAAUUUUUUAAUAAAAAAGCCCGUAAUAUUCUUUUUAAUUGAAGCCGUAACAUCUUUUACAGAAACUAGGAUUAGAUACCCUAUUAUCAAAAGAAAUAAAUAUUAAUACAUUUUGCUUGGGUACUACGAACACAUGUUUAAAACCCAAAGGACUUGGCGGUACUUUAACCCACUUAAGGGAACCUGUCCUUUAAUUCGAUAAUCCACGACAAUCUUAUUUAUUUUAGAACAAUUCAGCUUGUAUACCGUCGUCAUAAGUUAACCUUAAAAAGAAAAAAAGUUAACAAUAAAGAUAAAAUAAUUCUUUCUAACAAGUCAGAUCAAGGUGCAGCCAAUAAAUAAAGAAGAGAUGGGUUACAAUUAACAACUUCUAAUGGAAUCUUAAAAGAAAGUAAAGAAAGAAAUAGGACUUAAAAGUAAUUUGUAAAAACAAAUACCAAUGAAUAAGGAAACAAAGUGUGCACAUAUCGCCCGUCGCUCUCAUUGAAAAACGAGAUAAGUCGUAACACAGUAGAUGUAGCGGAAGCUGCCUCUAACAAAUA
This 875-nucleotide non-coding RNA is filed under the name Cellana orientalis. Lineage: Eukaryota; Metazoa; Mollusca; Gastropoda; Nacellidae. The record is from RNAcentral.